Molecule: long non-coding RNA, 1918 nt
Organism: Sapajus apella (tufted capuchin)
Lineage: Eukaryota; Metazoa; Chordata; Mammalia; Primates; Cebidae
Exons: 3
Source: RefSeq, a predicted model, not a curated record
AUAAAGAUUUUUUGGUUAUUGCCAACAAUGAGGCUUAUUCCCUGACAAACAUUAAACCAGUUUUAUUUCCUUUCAUAGAGAUAGGAUUACAUUUACAGAUUGUUCUUAGAUAUACCCACCUGAUUUUUUAAAUUGCUUUUCCACCUGCUUCUCCUUUCUUCUUAGGGUGAAACUCUAGCCAAACACCCUCUUCUGGUUUCAGGUGAGCAGUCUGAAUUGUGGGUAUCGUAGUUCUCUUACCUUUCAAGGUUUCUGGUUUGGCUGCCUUGGAGCCACACUGGUAGAACUUCAAGUCCCAGGUGGCUGAGGAAGCAGGGGUGCAGGUGCCUGCCUGCCUACGGAGCAAGGCAUGGUUGAAGAGUACCUAAUUUUGGUAGAGUGACUUCUAUUCACUAAUACCAUGUGUCUGAACUGAAGAAGCUGGGGAUCAUUUCCGCAAAUGUUUUGACUUAUUUUCCUCCCGACUGAAGUUACAGCAAAAAGUUUAUGAUCAAGGCACAUUGCUAAAAGCUAAUCUACUUGACAUCAUGAAAAUUCAUCAGAGCAGCUAAACAAGCAGUGGCCUCAAGAUAAGCAGUGUUAAAAUAAUGACAGCUCAUCCAGCUCACAGAAGCUAACGGAUCUCCUGUCCACAAGCCAUAACUACAGCUUUGAUUGGACAAGAGACUGAUUUCAAUAACAUUCUUCUGAUGAAACCACCAACCACAGAUUGCACACUUGUGUGCCCUUGUGUCCUAAAAAGACCUUUUGAUGUAUAGGGCCUAAUUGUAGUACAUUUCAAUGUUAUCUUUACCCCAAGGUAAACAUGGGUCAUAUAUAUGCAAUUUGCUUAAUAUGCUUGUGUCAGGACCCCCUUCAUGAAUAUUCACAACUCCUCCUCUAGCCUGUUGAAUACAUACGUUACUUUAAUUUGUUCAACUUAAAUUCCUGUCUAAACCCUGCUUGUCUCUGGUCGUUGUCGGAUGCUGUGCUUUUCAGCCUGUGGAAUGGCCACCGUGAAGGCUAUAACCUUUUAUGAGAAAUAAAGUCUCCUUUCUAAACUCAUAAAACCUGUAGUUUCUAAAGUUAACCUCAUGUAAUAAUAGCCAUGUAUGGUGCAUUGGAAGAGGUGCAUAACUAUAUUAAACAAACAAACAAGAAAAUCAGAGAUGUGAGAAGUUAUUGCACACAAAACCCAAACUAAGUUUCCUUUGAUAGUCAAGGUAAAACUUAAAAGCCUAAGGGGAUACUGUUGUUGGAUUUUUUUUUUUUAAAUAAGAGAAAACAUUAAGAUUAGGAGGAAAACAUUUUUCCUAUCCCCAAACUUUGAGAAUAAUUUCUUAUGCAUAGCUUUAUAUGAUUAGAUGUUUACUAAAAAUAUAGGUGAAUUCCACAUCUCAUCUUUAUGACAAGUGAAAAACUGAGGAAGCAGUGUUAAGCCAUCACUCUGUAAAGCCAAUUUUGUUAGGAAGCUGAAGUAACAUGCUCUAUUUUUAAAACUGCCUUUUCACUGCAAUUGAUUUAGGCAUAAAACUAGGAGAAUUGUGAGUUGUGAAUGGCUAUCAUAUCCUCUUUUGGUGUUGAGAUGUCUUUUAAUGGAAACUACAUAGUAGGCAAUUUUAAAUUCUCAUUACCAAGACAUAGUUGAAAGACAGCCUUUCCUUAUUGUUGCAGGAAGGCAGCAAAAUGAUGUUUUGCAUGAAUGUAAAGUUCCUGAGAUGGAUUUGCUUAACAGCUUUUCACUGGAUCUUGGAUGGAUGGGCCAAGAGGUUGAGGUUGAGCCAGCUCCUGAGUGAGUCAGGUGUGAGCUUUUACGGGUACCGUGAAAGGAGUCAAGCCUCCUAAAGUGAGGCUCUUCACACAUCUACCACGGGGGCAGGUUAAAUGUCUCUUCGUGUGUUUCCUUUCUUUUCUUUUUUUUUUUUUUUUGCUUUUUUGA